CACGCCGUAAACGAUGUCGACCAGCCUUGGGUGCCUAGCGCACUUUGUGGCGAAGUUAACGCGAUAAGUCGACCGCCUGGGGGAGUACGGCCGCAAGGUUAAAACUCAAAUGAAUUGACGGGGGCCCCGCACAAGCGGUGGAGCAUGUGGUUUAAUUCGAUGCAACGCGAAGAACCUUACCUACUCUUGACAUCCUGCGAAUUUUGGUAGAGAUACCUUAGUGCCUUCGGGAACGCAGAGACAGGUGCUGCAUGGCUGUCGUCAGCUCGUGUUGUGAAAUGUUGGGUUAAGUCCCGUAACGAGCGCAACCCUUGUCCUUAUUUGCCAGCGCGUAAUGGCGGGAACUCUAAGGAGACUGCCGGUGACAAACCGGAGGAAGGUGGGGACGACGUCAAGUCAUCAUGGCCCUUACGAGUAGGGCUACACACGUGCUACAAUGGUCGGUACAAAGGGUUGCCAACUCGCGAGAGUGAGCCAAUCCCGAAAAGCCGAUCUCAGUCCGGAUCGGAGUCUGCAACUCGACUCCGUGAAGUCGGAAUCGCUAGUAAUCGUGGAUCAGAAUGCCACGGUGAAUACGUUCCCGGGCCUUGUACACACCGCCCGUCACUCCACGUGAUAGAGUUUCAUCCUGGCUCAGGAUAAGUCGUAACAAG
RNAcentral lists this ribosomal RNA (653 nucleotides) under Vreelandella aquamarina. Its description in RNAcentral is "bacterial SSU rRNA". It matches the Rfam family "Bacterial small subunit ribosomal RNA", at positions 796 to 1495 of the family's 1533-position model. Lineage: Bacteria; Pseudomonadati; Pseudomonadota; Gammaproteobacteria; Oceanospirillales; Halomonadaceae. The record is from RNAcentral.